Molecule: ribosomal RNA, 253 nt
Filed under: uncultured bacterium
Lineage: Bacteria
Description: partial 16S ribosomal RNA
Rfam family: Bacterial small subunit ribosomal RNA
Source: RNAcentral
UACGUAGGGUGCAAGCGUUAUCCGGAAUUAUUGGGCGUAAAGAGCUCGUAGGCGGUUUGUCGCGUCUGCUGUGAAAACCGGAGGCUCAACCUCCGGCCUGCAGUGGGUACGGGCAAACUAGAGUGCGGUAGGGGAGAUUGGAAUUCCUGGUGUAGCGGUGGAAUGCGCAGAUAUCAGGAGGAACACCGAUGGCGAAGGCAGAUCUCUGGGCCGUAUCUGACGCUGAGGAGCGAAAGCGUGGGGAGCGAACAGG